This 494-nucleotide ribosomal RNA is filed under the name uncultured bacterium. RNAcentral's name for it is "partial 16S ribosomal RNA". It matches the Rfam family "Bacterial small subunit ribosomal RNA", at positions 28 to 523 of the family's 1533-position model. The record is from RNAcentral.
GACGAACGCUGGCGGCGUGCUUAACACAUGCAAGUCGAGCGAUGAACCUUUCAUGAAUUUUUCGGACUGAUUGGAAGAGGAUUAGCGGCGGACGGGUGAGUAACGCGUGAGCAACCUGCCUUAAACAACGGGAUAGCCUCGGGAAACCGGGAUUAAUACCGUAUGAGACCCCGCCUUCACAUGCAGCACAGGUUAAAGCUUUAUCGGUUAAAGAUGGGCUCGCGUCUGAUUAGCUAGUUGGUGAGAUAAAAGCCGACCAAGGCAAAGAUCAGUGACCGGCUUGUGCGAGUGAGCGGUCACAUUGGAACUGAGACACGGUCCAAACUCCUACGGGAGGCAGCAGUGGGGAAUAUUGCACAAUGGGGGAAACCCUGAUGCAGCGACGCCGCGUGAGCGAUGAAGGAAUUCGUUUCGUAAAGCUCUGUCCAAGGGGAAGAUAAUGACAGUACCCUUGGAGGAAGCCCCGGCUAAAUACGUGCCAGCCGCCGCCGUAA